Molecule: unclassified non-coding RNA, 253 nt
Filed under: Tetracladium marchalianum
Lineage: Eukaryota; Fungi; Ascomycota; Leotiomycetes; Helotiales
Description: partial internal transcribed spacer region
Rfam family: Eukaryotic small subunit ribosomal RNA (bases 1-63)
Source: RNAcentral
CUUGGUCGAGGAAGUAAAAGUCGUAACAAGGUUUCCGUAGGUGAACCUGCGGAAGGAUCAUUACCGAGUUCAUGCCCUUACGGGUAGAUCUCCCACCCUUUGUAUACUAUACCUUUGUUGCUUUGGCGGGCCGCCUAGCUACUGGCUUCGGCUGGUAUGUGCCCGCCAGAGGACCCAAAACCCUGAAUUAUUAGUGUCGUCUGAGUAAAAUAUUUAAUAUUUAAAACUUUCAACAACGGAUCUCUUGGCUCUG